GACGAACGCUGGCGGCGUGCUUAACACAUGCAAGUCGAACGGAAAGGCCCUGCUUGCAGGGUACUCGAGUGGCGAACGGGUGUGUAACACGUGGGUGAUCUGCCCUGCACUUCGGGGUAAGCCUGGGAAACUGGGUCUAAUACCGGAGAGAAGCCAUCUUGCGUGUGAGGGUUGGUAAGAUUUUUGGGUGUGGGGUGAGUUCGCGGGCUAUCAGCUUGCUUGUGGGGUGAUGGGCUGCCUACGAGGUGGCGGGGGGCCGGCCGGGGGGGGUGGGCGGCCACAUUGGGGAUGGGAUACGGGCCAGACUCCCACGGGGGGGAGGAGGGGGGAAUUUUGCACAAUGGGCGGAAGGCUGAUGCAGGGACGGCGGGGGGGGGGAGACCGGCUUCGGGUUGUAAACCCGUUUCGCUAGGGACGGAGCUGUUUGUGACGGUACUGGGAUAAGAAGCACCGGCUAACUACGUG
RNAcentral lists this ribosomal RNA (465 nucleotides) under uncultured bacterium. RNAcentral's name for it is "partial 16S ribosomal RNA". It matches the Rfam family "Bacterial small subunit ribosomal RNA", at positions 28 to 507 of the family's 1533-position model. The record is from RNAcentral.